GACGAAGCCGUGCGAACGUUAUUCGGAAUCACUGGGCUUAAAGCGCGUGUAGGCGGGACGGCACGUCGGUCGCUGAAAGCCCCCGGCUCAACCGGGGAACGGGCGCCGAUACGACCGCCCUGGAGGGACGUGAGGGGGACCUGGAACUUCCGGUGGAGCGGUGAAAUGCGUUGAGAUCGGAAGGAACGCCCGUGGCGAAAGCGAGGUCCUGGACGUCUGCUGACGCUGAGACGCGAAAGCCAGGGAGCGAACGGG
Molecule: ribosomal RNA, 255 nt
Filed under: uncultured bacterium
Lineage: Bacteria
Description: partial 16S ribosomal RNA
Rfam family: Bacterial small subunit ribosomal RNA
Source: RNAcentral